CCUACGGGAGGCUGCAGUAGGGAAUCUUUCACAAUGGGCGAAAGCCUGAUGGAGCAACGCCGCGUGCAGGAUGAAGGCCUUCGGGUUGUAAACUGCUUUUAUAAGCGAGAAAUAUGAUGGUAACUUAUGAAUAAGGAUCGGCUAACUACGUGCCAGCAGCCGCGGUCAUACGUAGGAUCCGAGCAUUAUCCGGGGUGACUGGGUGUAAAGAGUUGCGUAGGUGGCAUAAUAAGUAGCUAGUGAAAUCUGGUGGCUCAACCAUUCAGACUAUUAGCUAAACUGUUAAGCUCGAGACCGUUAGGGGUAACUGGAAUUCCUGGUGUAGGAGUGAAAUCCGUAGAUAUUAGAAGGAACACCAAUAGCGUAGGCAGGUUGCUGGGACGGUUCUGACACUAAGGCACGAAAGCGUAGGGAGCAAACGGGAUUAGAUACCCCUGUAGUC
RNAcentral lists this ribosomal RNA (442 nucleotides) under uncultured bacterium. RNAcentral's name for it is "partial 16S ribosomal RNA". It matches the Rfam family "Bacterial small subunit ribosomal RNA", at positions 338 to 795 of the family's 1533-position model. The record is from RNAcentral.